This 237-nucleotide long non-coding RNA is filed under the name Gallus gallus (chicken). Lineage: Eukaryota; Metazoa; Chordata; Aves; Galliformes; Phasianidae. The record is from RNAcentral.
GUCUGACUUAGACAUCUUCACUGUUGGAUCUCUGAGGGAUUUUAUUUUCUUUGUUGUACUCAAAAUGGCUUUAGGCACAGGGAAGAAUUCUCCAUAUUUCUUGUUAAAAUGUUGUGCUAUAUCUUGGGCUAGUUCCAGGUGCAGGACUUGAUCUUCUCCAACGGGAACAUGUGUCGACCUUCUGUCCAUUUUCCUUUUUCUUUGAUCCUUGGUUCAUCUGAAUUCAUACUGUUUUUC